Molecule: non-coding RNA, 3878 nt
Organism: Phalacrocorax carbo (great cormorant)
Lineage: Eukaryota; Metazoa; Chordata; Aves; Suliformes; Phalacrocoracidae
Source: RefSeq, a predicted model, not a curated record
UUUAUUGCAAUGAAUCAGCGCCGGGCGCCUUCCGGUGCCUCCCCCGGGGAGCCCGGCCCGCCGCCCCCUCGCCGCCCCGCCUCCCGCCCGCCCCCCGGGCCGCGCUGCCCGCCCGCCCCCGCCCGUCGGCGCUGGGCUGCGGGGAGGGGGACCCCCGCGAGCAAAGGGCAGGGUGUUGGAUGCUGGGUGUGGGGAGCUGGGUCCCUCCCUGAGGGCUCCCAUCUCAGCUGCCGCUGUGGGCAGGGGGACGCUGGCCACCCCGUGAGGGGACCCCAAUUUGCGCCCCCCUGCCGUGUGUUUCCUCUGCCCCGCAGGGAUAGCCCUCCCCCUCCUCCGGUGAGGAUGGGGCCGCUGUGACCUGAUUCACUCCCAUCUUGCCCCUCUGAGCACUCCCUGCCGCAUGUCAGGCCCACUCCGGGGUACGCGAUGCUCCCAAAACGACAUCCCUGUGGUCCUGGGCCCGGGCAUCUCUGCCACAUCAGGCAUUCCAUGGGCAUCUGGUUUGGGCCUCAGCCCCUGGUUGCCCCAAGAGGCUCAGCCAGGACGUGACCAAGUCCACCAGCUUCAUUUGAGGCCCUGCAUCCAACCGGCUCUGCACCGUCACCAUCAGCUCUUCCUGUAUCCUUUCCUCAGGGCACCCCACCUUUCCAGUUUUGCAUUAACACUGCUCCCCCUUAUCUUUUUUGUUGUGCCCUGCAAUCACUGGAUUUACGUCCUUUUCCUCCCCCCCCCGAUGGAAGGCACCACAGUUCGUUAUAGUCUGGCCAGUGCCCAGUGUCACGGGGAAACCAGUAAAGGCUGUGGCGGUUGGAGGUGAUACUUAAGAAGAACACACAAGCCUGCAGUCCCUUCCUCUUGUACACCAUUCAUUUUGUCAUCCUUUUACGAGAGUUGACACAAGGCUGACCCAGCUUCCUAGCCAUUGCCUCAAUGGUGCAGCCAAGGGCAGGGCUGCACUUAAUGAACUUAUUCACCCUGCUUCCAAAGCGGUAUUUGCUCAGCUACGUACUUUUGCAGCAUCACCCUUUGGACUUUGAGUCCUGUUCCCCCUCCAUCGUUUUUCUUGAAUGACCGACACUUCUAUAGGUGUUUGCAAGCCAAACCCCAGAGGAAAUGGGACACCACUUCAAAAAGAGCAAAAAAACGAGGCAGCAAGUCAAGAGCAUUCAAGGAACAUCUGGAGGAAGGCUUCUGGUGCGGAAAGGCUGCAGGACUUGGCAUGUUUGUGCACACCUUGCUUCAAAAGACAGGACUCCAGGACUUAUCUGUGGCCACUCCAGCAAUGCGUGACAACAGCCAAGCACCUUGCGGGGAGCUGUGCAGGUGCUUCACCACCCACAGAUUAUUUAACUGCCCUAUCGGCACCACUCGGCUCACAGCACCACCAAAACCCAUCACCAUUAUCAUCAGGCGCUGCUGGGAAACGCAACAGAAGAGAACGAGGCAGUUGCCCCCAGCGUCCCCUGGGCCAGUUUCCUGGGUGGAGAUCUCCCCAGCACUAGGAUUUUUGUCUCCAGCUGCCCUCUGAGCACAUUUCUUUGCUGCAUGCCAGCCCGCAGCCUGGCCUCUCCUGUGGCUGAUAAGAGGUGGAGAUUGGCCUUUAUCUUUGGUGACUCAUGGCUGCUCCUGCUUCACUUGCGCUCCGAGGCCUGCUUGCCUCCUUCAUGGGAAAGCUCCUAAGUGUUGACCAGGGGCAGGAGAAGCACAAGCACACCUGCACCCAGAAAUCCCCCUCAGCCAUGGUCAUGCGAUCGCUUAAUGCCCUGCAGUGCCUCGCUCACUGCUUCUGCUGCUCCUCUCAUUGCAUAAAGCAAGGCUAUAAUGGUAAAGCCAUGGGACAGUUUGCUUUAUCCCUGCUCAGAACUGAAUGGCGAUUGUGUUGGCAUGAUUAUUAAUUAAAAAUAAAAAUUCUCUCUUAUUUAUGCCACAGGCCAUCACCAGGUGACCAAUGCCUUGGGUGGCUGAAGUCAUCGGAUCUUUCUCAAUCCCUGAAAAGCAUCUCCUGGUGUCCCAGUGUCAUGGGGCAGCUUGUCCCCAUGCUGUCCCCAGUUCAGGAAUGGGGACACCCGGAUGUGCCACCCAGCUGUGUGGCGCUGGGGACUUUGGGUGUUUUCCAGUGAAGGGAAGGGAGGUCCCCAGAUAGGGGUAGGAUGCUUGGAAGCGCCACGGCCCCACCGGAGGUGUGGGGUGUUGUGUUGCCAUGGAGGAGAAACACCCUCCCAGGUGUGGUAUGUGCCCAGUGAGUCACUGCCCCAUGCUGCCGCCACGAUGGGCAGUGGGGGGGAGACUUUAUGCUUCCCCCCAGGUUUUUUACAGCCAAGUUUUCUCCCAAAGGCUAUUUAUUUCUGUGCAUGCACAUGUUGCGUAUAUGCAGAAGGGGUACUGUACACAUGGGGUACCAAGGCGGAGGCCUGGCACCCCCUUGCCUACCCUUGGCUACACCAACAUGCCAGCCACAGGGGCACGGCCGUGCACAGGGGAGAAUGAGGAUAAGGGUGAGGAGGGGGCUGCCCAAGGGAAGGGCGGCUGCUCAGCGCCACUGGCACACAGCACCCUGCUCCCCUGCCUGAAACAGACCAGGGUGGUUUUAUUUUCGUUCCCCACAAGCAAUUGCUGCAAGUCAUCUUGAAUCAUAAGUGAUUUCUCAUCUGACAGCGGGGGGGGGGGGGGGGGGGGGAAGAGGGAAAAAGGCCUUAACCUGAUGAGAAAACUGGGAACUGGGAUGGGGACACAGCCAUCCCCAAGGGAGCCGGACUGCAUUUCUCUGGGAGAUCAACAGGUUGUGAGUCACUGAAAAAGUCCCCUCCACAAAGCCAGGCUGUGAUCAGUGAUUGCUGUGGACAUUAAGGCCGAUGAGCUUUUUUCAAGCAUCUGGGACCAUGGGGCAAAGGGAGCAGGAGGGCAGAGAGGAGGUUUGGGUUCAUGGGGGGCUGGCAGGGAGCCUAGAGUGGGAUCUCAGCCCCGACCUUCAAAACCCAGUGCUAAGUGAUAGACCUGUCUCCCAGCUCUUGCGUGUUACUCCCAUCCAGGUGUUUAAAAAAGCAGGUUUCACUUCUCUUUGGUGAAAGGCAACCUUGUUCUUCCAUGUGCCGCAGGGCUGGGGCGGCCUGUCGGCAGCAACGGGGUGACUCAGCCCGCCCACGCAGCAGCCUGCCAUCCAGCCCCAGCUAUAUUUGCCGAGCAGGUGAAUGAAUCAUUGCACAGAAAGACCUUAGACCUUGCCAUCUUGCCCAUUUUUACUCCUUUUUUUCCCCCUUCCCCUCCCUGGAGCAGCACCAGCCCAGCAGCAGCCCUGGGUCCCUGCCUGCCCAAGGCUGGUGCUCUGUGAGGGGCAGUGCAUUGGCUGUCCCGCCGGGCUGUGGGCAGCCCAGCCAGCAGCUCAGAGGUCCCACGGCCGCCUGCAAGCCAAGGGCAAGCCCAACAGCACCGGCCAGGGGUGGAGGAAACACUGAGGGCACAUUGCAGCUACAAAGCUGCCAGGUCUUUUUUCUUAAUGAUUUUUUUAUCUCUGGCAAGAGGAAGUCAUGAAGCCAUUAUGUUUCAUUGAAACAUGAAGAGGGAGGGCACCCCAGCACACAGGACUGAGACAAGGCCAAAGCUCCGGCCUCUGGGUUGCCAGAGAGAGCAAUAAAAUGUGGAGGCAUCGUGGGACUAAGCUGACAGUUUGGCCUCUGCAAUUCUCACUGUUCCCCAAGGGAGAUUUCUACCACAUGCCUGCCUUUUUUCCUCCCUGGUCAUGCAUUAGGACUGACAGACAAGGAGGUGCCUACAGGAACAGUGCACACAUGGGCUGGAUGGGUUAGUCCCACCUUGGUGCUUGCUGUGCAGGGUCACAGAGCACAGGCAGGGUGUCUCUAUCAGAGCGCAGCUACCUACUG